RNAcentral lists this ribosomal RNA (253 nucleotides) under uncultured bacterium. RNAcentral's name for it is "partial 16S ribosomal RNA". It matches the Rfam family "Bacterial small subunit ribosomal RNA", at positions 524 to 776 of the family's 1533-position model. The record is from RNAcentral.
UACAGAGGUCUCAAGCGUUGUUCGGAUUCAUUGGGCGUAAAGGGUGUGUAGGUGGCGCGCUAAGUCGGGUGUGAAAUUUCGGAGCUUAACUCCGAAGCUGCAUUCGAUACUGGCGUGCUUGAGGACUGGAGAGGAGACUGGAAUUCAUGGUGUAGCAGUGAAAUGCGUAGAGAUCAUGAGGAAGACCAGUGGCGAAGGCGGGUCUCUGGACAGUUCCUGAUACUGAGACACGAAGGCCAGGGGAGCAAACGGG